This 336-nucleotide unclassified non-coding RNA is filed under the name soil metagenome. RNAcentral describes it as "partial contains 5.8S ribosomal RNA, internal transcribed spacer 2, and large subunit ribosomal RNA". The stretch from base 1 to 120 matches the Rfam family "5.8S ribosomal RNA", at positions 35 to 154 of the family's 154-position model. The record is from RNAcentral.
GAUGAAGAACGUAGUGAAAUGCGAUAAGUAGUGUGAAUUGCAGAAUUCAGUGAAUCAUCGAAUCUUUGAACGCACAUUGCGCCCCUUGGUAUUCCAUGGGGCAUGCCUGUUCGAGCGUCAUUUGUACCCUCAAGCUUUGCUUGGUGUUGGGUGUUUGUCCCGCGUUGCGCGUGGACUCGCCUUAAAGCGAUUGGCAGCCGGCAUAUUGGCCUUGGAGCGCAGCACAUUUUGCGCUUCUAGUCAUGAAUGUUGGCGUCCAUUAAGCCUAUACAUUUGCUCUUGACCUCGGAUCAGGUAGGGAUACCCGCUGAACUUAAGCAUAUCAAAAGCGGAGGA